RNAcentral lists this ribosomal RNA (253 nucleotides) under uncultured bacterium. Its description in RNAcentral is "partial 16S ribosomal RNA". It matches the Rfam family "Bacterial small subunit ribosomal RNA", at positions 524 to 776 of the family's 1533-position model. The record is from RNAcentral.
UACGUAGGGGGCAAGCGUUGUCCGGAUUUAUUGGGCGUAAAGAGCGUGUAGGCGGCUUUACAGGUCCGUUGUGAAAACUCGAGGCUCAACCUCGAGACGCCGGUGGAAACCGUAAGGCUAGAGUCCGGAAGAGGAGAGUGGAAUUCCUGGUGUAGCGGUGAAAUGCGCAGAUAUCAGGAGGAACACCCGUGGCGAAGGCGGCUCUCUGGACCACUACUGACGCUGAGGCGCGAAAGCUAGGGGAGCAAACAGG